Heterocephalus glaber (naked mole-rat) is the source of this 1950-nucleotide long non-coding RNA. RefSeq lists it as uncharacterized. NCBI's taxonomy places the organism in Eukaryota, Metazoa, Chordata, Mammalia, Rodentia, Bathyergidae. The record is from RefSeq and is a predicted model, not a curated record.
CUGAGCGAAAUCCCCAGCCCAGCUGACUCAACUUUGGAGCAGUAUUACUGGAUCCUGAAUCAGCAAUUAAGGUGACAGGACAGGACUCCUGGAUUCAUCACUCCAGAGUAAAGCUCUGGACUGCCUCCCAGAACCAUGACAAUACACCUCUGGAUCAUCCCCAGGCCACAUCUGAGCCCACCUGUACUUGUGAACCUGUGGAGGACCUAAAGUUCCUAUUCAAAAGACAAAACCAAGAUAAGUAAUCUAAGAUGUUACUUUUAACUCUCUCACUAAUUACUUUUAUACCACUUAAAGGAGAGUUCAAUUUCUUUCUAGUGUGGGCACAGGAAUAUGCAGAGUCAUUACAACAAAAAUCUCACUGGAUAUGUGGCCUGCUCCCCUUGUCAAGUACCUCAGGACUCCCUUGGUGGGUAUCACCAUUUCAAGGUGAUGACUGGAAUAAAUUACAAGACUACAUUGAAGAGACAUGGAAAGGCUCCACAGUUCAUAGUUUAGCUCACCAUUACAAGGAUUAGAGGAUGUCAUGCAACACGUCGAGGCCUUAACCAGCUAUACUCAAGGGGCCUUAAAUGAGACCUUAACCAGGAUCUUUCUCCUAAAUGAAGAAGUCAAGUUAAUGAGACAAGCUGUCUUCGAGAACCAGAUGGCCUUAGAUGUCCCAACAGCAGCACAUGGAGGAACUUGUGCAACUGUAAAAGCUGAAUGUUGCAUGCACAUUCCUGAUCAAUCUGAUAACACCUAGAUGGCUGUUCAAGAUAUUAGAUGACAGGCCUGGGGAUGUGGCUCAGUGGUGCCGUGCCUGCCUGGGAAGUGCAAGGUCCUGAGUUUGAACCCCAAUACUGCAAAAAAAAAAAAAAAAAAAAAGGUAUUAGAUGACAGAUUAAUGUCAUGUCAGAUUCUGAAGCUCCCUGGACCUAUUCCUUACCCUCUUUGUGGAAGGCUAUCGCUGGUUCUUCCUGGUGGAAGCAAUUGUUGGCCAUAUUAAUAACAGUCUUAUUUAUUUAUUGUUUAGCCCAUGCAUAUUUAACUGGUUCUUUAGUUUUUUCUCCUCCAGACUUAAAGCUAUAUUCCUACCCAAGAUGAAAAUGCCUGAUGUCUACCAAGGGUCUUUACAUAGACCCUCUUGAGAGUAUCUCGGACCACAACUCCGACCACCUCCAGCCAAAAGCAGCCAGAGUAGCCAACACCCCUUUCCCCUUCAAACAGUUAGGGGCACUUCUUCAGAGGAGAAAAUAUUAUAGACUGGCUAUCUAGAUAAAUCAUAAAAUUAACUGCUGUCACUAUACCACUGAUGUAACCAACCUUCUUUUGGUGGGUGUUCAACAACUGAAGUUUGGGAGACCAAACCUGAAAAAGAUAAUCAGGUCAAGAGGACAGCCAAUAUUUUGGCCCUUGCUUUUCCCAGGUCAACAAGGACCCAGGACAUGAAUGGACCUUUCCGCAAGAUCCUACAACUCUGGUGAGUCAUCCAACCUCCUGAGCAAGGAGAUUGUUGGACCCCAGAGGAUAGGAUUCUACCAAUGUACAUCAUGCUGAAAGGAGAGUCACUAAAGGGUUCCCAUGCUUCAGAAAAGCCAUGUGAUCUAGCACAGACAAUGACUCAUCCUGGCAGAUGACACAUCUGACAGAGGAAGAACUGAAACUAAGAGGCUCUGACCAUGGCCCCAAAAGUAAUGCCUGAGGAAAUUUUACUGAGAUAUAUCUAUCUAUCUAUCUAUCUAUCAAGUGGUUAAGUUACAAUUGACAAAGUUCUCACCUUAAUGUGGUCUUGAACACCCAGGAACAGGUUACAGCCAGAGAUAUGUAUAAGUAACAACGAUAUAGGCUAGACAUACAGAGGAGGGCUCCAAUCACUAACCCCUGGUGCUCCCCAAGUAUGACCCCAUAGCUUUGUAAGAAGUCAAUGGAGGGCUGGUGAUGUAGCUCAGUGGUGCCAUGCCUGCCUGA